CUUCCAAACGCCGCCUCCACCGCUUCGCCGUCGCCAUCACCCGAAACUAACAAGCCACCAGCUGCCCCCCACCCCGCACAUGCACUCGUCUGCUCCCACUUCGCCUCCUCGCUCACACCCCAGUCUGGCACUCUCCACCCCACGCCACAGCCAUCCGUAACCACCGCUCUUCCAUGGCGGCCGCCGACGACGAUGGCCAGAUCGACGACGACGAGUUCUACGAGUACAACCCGCACCCCUACGGCGGCGGCUACGACAUCUCCGCCACCUACGGCGCCCCGCUCCCGCCCUCCACCUCCACGUGCUACCCCGUCUCCUCCCCCGCCGGCGCCCCCGCGCGCUCCUCUCCGCGGCCGCCCGCGCCCGCGCCCGUUGCUGCACCCGCCACGCCGCAGCCGGCACCGUCUUCGCCCGCGAAGCCUCGGCCGGCCCCAUCGCCAGAGCCGGCGAGGACACCGCCCUUUUCGCCCGUUCCGGUGCCGAUGCCGGUGCCGGUCGCGGAGCCGUUCUACUGGCCCAAGCCGCACGACUACGGGGACGCGCCGCGGUGGCCGCCGGUGUACCCCACGCCGGAGGUGUUCCGGCGCUGGCCGUACCUGGCGGCGGGGUCGCAUUGCUGCCACUCGCGAGGCGGGCCGCGCGACUACUGGAGGCAGUGCAUGCGCGGGCUGGACUUCCUCUUCGGCCACGCGCCGACGGGUACGGGGAGCGCCGGAUCGGGACCGACUGCCACGGGGUCCCCGUGUACGCCAACAAGAAGGGGGGAGUGGAGGACGCCGUGGUCGUCGAGGUGCCGCCGCCGGCAAUUGGGAGUGUGCAGUGGCACGACGCUGGCGAGGUGCCCGCGACUGGGAAUGCGCAGUGGCAUGACCACGGCGAGGUGCCGGCCAUUGGGAAUGUGCAGUGGCACGACCAUGCGGAGGUGCCGGCAAUUGGGAAUGUGCAGUGGCACGACGCCGGCGAGACGCACGAUCAGAGCAAUUGGCUAUCUUCGUACGACAAUGCAAAAGAGGAUACGUAUGCAUAUGCCCAUUCUACGUAUGGCUCGUAUGACACAUCCUACGAACAGUCUUACAGUGUUAAUGUUGUUUCGGAUGAACCUACUUGGUUUCCCAAUCAAAGCUACCAUGAUGUUUACAGAGAGGAGGAACCUCGGUAUCAGGAGGUUUUGCCCAGUUAUGGCAUAGAAAGCACAUUUUCAUCUCAACCUAUUUAUUGUUACAAUCAACACUCUGGUGAACAACCACUGCAUGUUCAGGUUGAGCCUCCGGAAACAUUUUAUUCUCACAAGUUGGAGUACCACGAGAAUUUCUCAACAUAUACCAACCAUAUUGAUAAUUCGGAGAUAUCGACACAGUCAUGUGAGAUACAGCCCUAUGCAUAUGUACCUGACAGCCCAGUUGAAGCUUAUCAACCUUCUUGGUCGAUGAAUUUGGGAUACUACCAGGACUCCGCAGAAGAGGUGACUCCUCAGUACGAUAAUCAUGCUUUCGAAUCUGGUGAAUAUGGAGGCAUGGCAAGCAUAUUCUCGUCUUCCUCCUAUCCUACUCAGCAAGUAGAAGUUUAUGAGCAGUCUUAUGGUGAUGAGUAUGUCUCCUUAGAACAAAAUUUCCAGAGCAACUGGAAUGCUUUUUCUGAAGAUACCUCUGAAAUCACUAAAUCAGUUGAUGGCAACCAUCUGAAUGGCUCCUUCUGGCCCUUUGGAGAAUACUCAACAUAUACUGUAUAGUUAAUGUUGUAAUUUCAGUUUAGUAUCAAAAUAUCAUAUACUCCCUCCGUCCCGAAUUAACUGUUGUAAUUUCACUUCAGGAUCACAUGUAUGGACAUUUUAAUCUAAUUUAUUUGGCCAAAUGUAAGUAGUAAAUAGCGUCAUAGGAAAAGUGUAAGUAGUAAGUUGUUUUUGCACAAUAUUAUGUACUACCAAAUAUGUGUUAGUUAUGCAUAAAAUGCAAGGUAAUAACCGAAUUGUUGAUCCUA
Aegilops tauschii subsp. strangulata is the source of this 1977-nucleotide RNA transcript. RefSeq lists it as uncharacterized. The record is from RefSeq and is a predicted model, not a curated record. Lineage: Eukaryota; Viridiplantae; Streptophyta; Magnoliopsida; Poales; Poaceae.